Molecule: long non-coding RNA, 426 nt
Organism: Dermacentor silvarum
Lineage: Eukaryota; Metazoa; Arthropoda; Arachnida; Ixodida; Ixodidae
Exons: 3
Source: RefSeq, a predicted model, not a curated record
UAUUCGAUCGCGUCUUAGCUCGUUCUCUGCUAUAUAAGUUCGCCGAAUUAGCUUGCGUUUAAUAGCAGACUACACAAAGAAGUUGUUUGAGAUGUCUGCUUUAGGCACCGCCCGAUAUACUCUUCUGGCCAUGAUCAUUCUGCAGGGAAUGUUUAUAUGCUUGGGCAAACCAAAUGCGUUUUUCAGCCCACUUGAAAGAAGCGAUAACACAGGAUCUUCAGCUAAGUGCGGGCAACAGUGCACGCGGGAACCAAACGGAAAAUGUCCUGAAGGCUGUUUCUGUGCAUUUGUUGGAAACAAUACUACUGGCAAAUGCUACUCCUACGACGAGUUUCAGUGAUACCGCUGUAAUAUUACAACAGCGGGAGUAUCAGCGGAGUGCGUUAUGCCAGAAUAAAUGCCACGCCCUUCUGUUUUAUUGUCGCA